Molecule: small nuclear RNA, 104 nt
Organism: Myotis myotis
Lineage: Eukaryota; Metazoa; Chordata; Mammalia; Chiroptera; Vespertilionidae
Source: RefSeq, a predicted model, not a curated record
GUGCUCAUUUCGGCAGCACAGGUCCUAAAAUGGGAAGGAUGCAGAGAAGAUUGGCGCCCCUGUGCAAGGAUGACAUGCAAAUUCUGGAAGCCUUCCAUAUUUUU